RNAcentral lists this ribosomal RNA (492 nucleotides) under uncultured bacterium. RNAcentral's name for it is "partial 16S ribosomal RNA". It matches the Rfam family "Bacterial small subunit ribosomal RNA", at positions 29 to 507 of the family's 1533-position model. The record is from RNAcentral.
AGUGAACGCUGGCGGUAGGCCUAACACAUGCAAGUCGAACGGCAGCACAGUAAGAGCUUGCUCUUACGGGUGGCGAGUGGCGGACGGGUGAGGAAUACAUCGGAAUCUACUUUUUCGUGGGGGAUAACGUAGGGAAACUUACGCUAAUACCGCAUACGACCUACGGGUGAAAGCAGGGGAUCUUCGGACCUUGCGCGAUUGAAUGAGCCGAUGUCGGAUUAGCUAGUUGGUGGGGUAAAGGCCCACCAAGGCGACGAUCCGUAGCUGGUCUGAGAGGAUGAUCAGCCACACUGGGACUGAGACACGGUCCAGACUCCUACGGGAGGCAGCAGUGGGGAAUAUUGGACAAUGGGCGCAAGCCUGAUCCAGCCAUACCGCGUGGGUGAAGAAGGCCUUCGGGUUGUAAAGCCCUUUUGUUGGGAAAGAAAAGCAGCAGGUUAAUACCCCGCUGUUCUGACGGUACCCAAAGAAUAAGCACCGGCUAACUUCGUG